AUGAGCGGCGGCCUUCCGGGUUUCCACAAUGCGCCGGUGUCGAGGGCCGUGGUCGUCGCCGCCGCGCUCUUCUCCGUCCCCUUCGGCCUCCGCUCUCGCUUCCUCGACCUCGGCCUGUCCCACCAGAAUCUGUACGAAAAUCUGCGGAUAUGGAGGGUGAUUGCCUCGUUGUUUGCCUUCUCGUCGUCGCCUGAGCUUAUCUUCGGAGUGGCCUUGCUGUACUAUUUCAGGGUGUUCGAGCGUCAGAUAGGUUCAAACAAGUAUGCUGUCUUCAUAGUCUUCUCCAUGACGGUGUCUGUACUGCUUCAGAUCCUAGCUUUAGGUUAUCUGAAAGAUCCAUCUUUCAAUCCAUUAACAUCUGGACCAUAUGGCCUCAUAUUUGCAUCUUAUGUACCCUUCUUCUUUGACAUUCCCAUCUCAACAAAGUUUCGCAUAUUUGGACUGCAAUUAUGUGACAAGUCAUUCGUAUAUUUGGCAGGGCUCCAGCUUCUUUUCUCAUCUGGAAGACGUUCUGUUAUACCUGGACUGUCUGGUAUAUUGGCUGGGCUUUUGUACCGUCUGAAUAUAUUUGGUAUCCGCAGGCUAAAGGUUGCAGGGUAUGCAACUUCACUGUUUUCACGGUUAUCAUGGCCCUUCUCUAACAACUCUUAUCAAAGAUUGCCAAUUGCAACAACUGAUGACAACAUUCCUCAUCGCCAGACUCAUCAAAUGCAGGGCGCGCACACAACUACCCCAGAUCCAACGGAGUCGUCAAUUGCCACGCUUGUUUCCAUGGGUUUUGAUCGUGCUUCUGCAAUUCAGGCUCUCGCACUGACAAAUAAUGAUGUAAAUUUAGCCUCGAACAUCCUGCUUGAAGCACAAUCCACGUAG
RNAcentral lists this ribosomal RNA (870 nucleotides) under Triticum aestivum (bread wheat). RNAcentral describes it as "partial small subunit ribosomal RNA". The record is from RNAcentral. Lineage: Eukaryota; Viridiplantae; Streptophyta; Magnoliopsida; Poales; Poaceae.